GGCUCAGGAUGAACGCUGGCGGCGUGCUUAACACAUGCAAGUCGAACGAAGCACUUUAUUACAAUUUCUUCGGAAUGACGAUUUAGUGACUGAGUGGCAGACGGGUGAGUAACGCGUGGGUAACCUGCCUUAUACAGGGGGAUAACAGUUAGAAAUGACUGCUAAUACCGCAUAAGCGCACAGGAUUGCAUGAUCUGGUGUGAAAAACUCCGGUGGUAUAAGAUGGACCCGCGUCUGAUUAGCUGGUUGGUGAGGUAACGGCCCACCAAGGCGACGAUCAGUAGCCGACCUGAGAGGGUGACCGGCCACAUUGGGACUGAGACACGGCCCAGACUCCUACGGGAGGCAGCAGUGGGGAAUAUUGCACAAUGGGGGAAACCCUGAUGCAGCGACGCCGCGUGGAGGAAGAAGGUCUUCGGAUUGUAAACUCCUGUUGUUGAGGAAGAUAAUGACGGUACUCAACAAGGAAGUGACGGCUAACUACGUG
RNAcentral lists this ribosomal RNA (487 nucleotides) under uncultured bacterium. Its description in RNAcentral is "bacterial SSU rRNA". It matches the Rfam family "Bacterial small subunit ribosomal RNA", at positions 21 to 507 of the family's 1533-position model. The record is from RNAcentral.